This 2276-nucleotide long non-coding RNA is filed under the name Marmota monax (woodchuck). Lineage: Eukaryota; Metazoa; Chordata; Mammalia; Rodentia; Sciuridae. The record is from RNAcentral.
UGAAGACUUUGCAAAGCUGGUCUGUUAACUAGACUGGCAGCCAGAAUUGCAGUGUUCAUAAGGCUGCAAACUAUCAGAGCUGGAAGACAGCAUAGAAAUAAUUUAGUCCAGUCUUUUGGUAAUCCACUUGAUAAAAAUGGAUGAAGAAUAUGAGUUCUAGAGGGGUGAAUUUAGUAGCCAACAUCCCUUUAGCCAGUGGAAGGCAACACUUACACUGAAUUAGUGUAAGGAGCACAGAAUUCAGAGCUGCAAAAACAAAUAAUAAAUGGAGGAAGGAAAGAAACGGCCAUUUAGUGAGCAUCUGUUGUAUGCCCAACACAGAGGUGCUCUGAAAAUAUCAUUUAUUUAAUAAUGAUAACAAAAAAAUAGAGCUGCAUAGAAAUCAAAUAGUUUGCUGGUGCUAAUUUUAACCAAAAUUCAUUUUCUUUUCUCUAAUAAUCCAGUUAUGGGAAGUGAACAAGUUACUUAGCUUCUCUGACCAUUUGAUUGCCAGUAAAUCAAAUGGAGAAAUGGAAUUUUUGUUUGUUUGUUUGUUUUGUACUAGGGAUUGAAUCCAGGGUACUCUACUACUGAGCUAUAUCCCCAGUCCUUUUUAUUUUUUUAUUUUGAGAUAGGGUCUGACUCAGUUGCUUAGGGCCUCACUAAGUUUCUGGAAAUGACUUCAAAUUUACAGUUCUCCUGCCUCAGCCUCCCGGGUCACCGAGCUUACCAAUGUGCAUCAAUUUGCAUGGCUCAAAUGGAGAUAUUAUUGCUCCACUCGGCUCAUUCAGACUGAUUUUGAAGACCAAAUGAAAUUUUGUAUGUGCAAAUUAUUUGGAAAUUGAAAGGGUUCCUCCAGAACAAAGUGGUGGAAUUAAAGUUUGGAGGUAGGAGUCCCAGAUCUCCUGGUUUUGGCAUAGAGGUAGAGUUCCAUUCAUAGUAGCAUCCUGGAUCUUGAUCCACACGUUUUUGCUCACUGUGGGCAUGCCCUGCCUGGUAUUUCUUUCCCACCUCAGAUUCAUUGUGGGGAGCCACCUGUGAGCCACUUGAGUGGUACUGAGCCAUGAAUAUUUAGGUAUUUUUUUCCCUUGGGAACUAUCCUGGCUUUCUCCGUGUGCAUCAGAUCACCCAAGGCAUGAGAUCUCUUGUCUUUGCUCUACUUGGGAGACAAAUCUUGUAGCUCCAGAGUUGGGUGAAACCCUUUGGGAACUGGACAGUUCACCUCUUACCUUAUUUGGCAAAGAACAUUCCAUGAAAAACCUUUGAUGUUCCCCCCAUAUAAAAAAAACAAACGUGGGCACCAUUCCUCUUUUUCUAGUGUGGAAGCUCGAUCCCUGAGAUGGCUAGCUGUCCCACCUCAGCUUUUUAAAAAUUACUUUCUGUGUCCUGUGGGUUUUUUCGCUGCCUUGUCUUUCUUAGCCUUUAUUUCACAGCCAGCCACUCCACGAAAAGGAACCCCAAUUCUGUCAUUUGUGUGGGACGAGGGUGAGAACUCAUAUCCUUGGUUUCAUAACCCUGUCGCUAAUCAUUCACACCCUUGGCUCUGUUUCCAUGUUCAGACUCUGGACUGGCCUGAGCCUAGUAUUUUGACCCUGAUUUGGAUCAUCCCAUCACCCCAAUGCAGCAUUGACAAUGAGAUACAUUUCAAGGAUGGGUAGAAAGUUGAGAGUAGAGGGCACUCACUGCUAGAUGUCAGAAUCUUAUGGUCCAGCCAGUGUGGCAGCACAUACCUAAAAUCCCAGUGGCACUGGAGGCUGAGGCAGGAGGAUUGCAGGUUUGGUGCCAGCCUCACAAUUUUAGCAAGGCCCUAAGCAACUUAGUGAGAUCCUGUCUCAAAAUAAAAAAAUUAAAAGGUCUGGGGAUGUGGCUCAGUGUUUAAGCACCCUUGGGUUCAAUCCCUGGGGAAAAAGAGAUCUUACAGUCUGCUUUAGUAGGGAUUCAUGAGCUUGGGCUCCAAGGAAGCAGAAAGGAGAGAGAAGGUAUAUAAAUUUGAGAGGCUGCUGAUAACAAAUUUAGUUUUUUUUUCCCUUGGGAACUAUCCUUGGGAAUAGACAUUUAUUCUUUCACAGUUCUGGAGACUGGCAGGGCAUGGCCCUUCUGAAAGCUCUAAGUGGAAACCUUCUUUGCCUCUCUAGCUUCUGGUGGUUGCCAGCCACCCUUGGUAUUAUUUGGCUUGUAGAUAUGUCACUGGAACUUCUGCCUCUGUCUUCACAUGACCUUCUUCACGUGUCUGUGUCCAAAUUUCUUUUAUAAGGACAUCAGUCAUUGCGUCAGAGCCCAAUCUAAUGCAAUAGGAC